AGAGUUUGAUCCUGGCUCAGAGCGAACGCUGGCGGCAGGCCUAACACAUGCAAGUCGAGCGCCCCGCAAGGGGAGCGGCAGACGGGAUAGUAACACGUGGGAACGUACCUUUCAGUUCGGAACAACCCAGGGAAACUUGGGCUAAUACCGAAUACGCCCGUAAGGGGAAAGAUUUAUCGCUGAAAGAUCGGCCCGCGUCUGAUUAGCUAGUUGGUGAGGUAAUGGCUCACCAAGGCGACGAUCAGUAGCUGGUCUGAGAGGAUGAUCAGCAUCACUGGGACUGAGACACGGCCCAGACUCCUACGGGAGGCAGCAGUGGGGAAUAUUGGACAAUGGGCGCAAGCCUGAUCCAGCCAUGCCGCGUGGAUGAUGAAGGCCUUAGGGUUG
This 387-nucleotide ribosomal RNA is filed under the name uncultured bacterium. RNAcentral's name for it is "bacterial SSU rRNA". It matches the Rfam family "Bacterial small subunit ribosomal RNA", at positions 8 to 425 of the family's 1533-position model. The record is from RNAcentral.